ACUCCUACGGGAGGCAGCAGUAAGGAAUAUUGCGCAAUGGGCGACAGCCUGACGCAGCGACGCCGCGUGGGGGAUGAAGGUCUUCGGAUUGUAAACCCCUUUCGGCAGGGAAGAUGGAACGGGUAACCGUUCGGACGGUACCGCAGAAGCAGCCACGGUUAACUUCGUGCCAGCAGCCGCGGUAAUACGAAGGUGGCAAGCGUUGUUCGGAUUUACUGGGCGUACAGGGAGCGUAGGCGGUUGGGUAAGCCCUCCGUGAAAUCUCCGGGCCUAACCCGGAAAGUGCGGAGGGGAUCUGCUCGGCUAGAGGAUGGGAGAGGAGCGCGGAAUUCCCG
This 335-nucleotide ribosomal RNA is filed under the name uncultured Nitrospira sp. RNAcentral's name for it is "bacterial SSU rRNA". It matches the Rfam family "Bacterial small subunit ribosomal RNA", at positions 335 to 672 of the family's 1533-position model. Lineage: Bacteria; Pseudomonadati; Nitrospirota; Nitrospiria; Nitrospirales; Nitrospiraceae. The record is from RNAcentral.